This 497-nucleotide ribosomal RNA is filed under the name uncultured bacterium. RNAcentral's name for it is "partial 16S ribosomal RNA". It matches the Rfam family "Bacterial small subunit ribosomal RNA", at positions 28 to 507 of the family's 1533-position model. The record is from RNAcentral.
GAUGAACGCUGGCGGCGUGCCUAAUACAUGCAAGUCGAGCGAACAGACGAGGAGCUUGCUCCUCUGACGUUAGCGGCGGACGGGUGAGUAACACGUGGAUAACCUACCUAUAAGACUGGGAUAACUUCGGGAAACCGGAGCUAAUACCGGAUAAUAUAUUGAACCGCAUGGUUCAAUAGUGAAAGACGGUUUUGCUGUCACUUAUAGAUGGAUCCGCGCCGCAUUAGCUAGUUGGUAAGGUAACGGCUUACCAAGGCAACGAUGCGUAGCCGACCUGAGAGGGUGAUCGGCCACACUGGAACUGAGCCACGGUCCAGACUCCUACGGGAGGUAGCAGUAGGGAAUCUUUCGCAAUGGGCGAAAGCCUGACGGAGCAACGCCGCGUGAGUGAUGAAGGUCUUCGGAUCGUAAAACUCUGUUAUUAGGGAAGAACAAAUGUGUAAGUAACUAUGCACGUCUUGACGGUACCUAAUCAGAAAGCCACGGCUAACUACGUG